RNAcentral lists this ribosomal RNA (386 nucleotides) under uncultured microorganism. RNAcentral's name for it is "bacterial SSU rRNA". It matches the Rfam family "Archaeal small subunit ribosomal RNA", at positions 330 to 719 of the family's 1478-position model. The record is from RNAcentral.
GUGCAGCAGGCGAGAAAACUCCGCAAUACACGAAAGUGUGACGGGGCCAUCCCGAGUGCCGUCCGCUGAGGACGGCUUUUCCCCAGUGUACACAGCUGGGGGAAUAAGGAGAGGGCAAGCCUGGUGUCAGCCGCCGCGGUAAUACCAGCUCUCCGAGUGGUGGGGACGCUUAUUGGGCCUAAAGCAUCCGUAGCCGGCUGGGCAAGUUCUCCGUUAAAUCCAACGAUUCAAUCGUUGGGCUGCGGGGGAUACUGUCCAGCUUGGGGGUGGGAGAGGCCGACGGUAUUCCCGGGGUAGGGUGAGAUCCUAUAAUCCCGGGAGGACCACCAGUGGCGAAGGCUGUCGGCUAGAACGCGCCCGACGGUGAGGGAUGAAAGCUGGGGGGA